This 87-nucleotide unclassified non-coding RNA is filed under the name Pseudomonas palleroniana. The record is from RNAcentral. Lineage: Bacteria; Pseudomonadati; Pseudomonadota; Gammaproteobacteria; Pseudomonadales; Pseudomonadaceae.
GUGGGAGGGGGCUUGCUCCCGAUGGCGGUGGGUCAGUCAGCACAGGUGCUGCUGAUAGCCUGCUAUCGGGAGCAAGCCCCCUCCCAC